UUCUUGUGAGGAUCUCCUACAGAACAAAGGAAUUGGAAUGAAGAUAGCUCAACAUUUUGUUUCUAUAAAACUGAUCAAGUGCUUCGUUUGCAAAGUGCAAUGGAAAAUGGAACUGCACAUAAUCAGAUUGUUGGAGGAGUUCCAUUUGUUGGUAUGGGUGGUAUAGGAAAUUUAACUACCUUUUAUUAUUUGAAAGGUACGGAUCAUAUGUAUUUAAAUAUUUUCAACAUGCAAACUAUAUAAUUUUUAAUUUUUAAAACUUAGAACUAUUUGUUUUCUUUGGCAUCAUAGUUAAAGGUGCAAGAGUUGCCGUCUGUCAUCACAUCAGAAGAAUAUCACGAAAGUUCCGUAGAAUUAAGGAACUAGAUGUGCAGCAGUCAAGCACCAACAUACUUAGGAGGCAUAGCACUAGAAAAUGGCUACAACAAUAUUUUGCUAGUAUCUCCACCGGAGGUUGGACACAUGUAGGCAUAUGAACCAACGCCUGAUACAUUUAUCUUUCAGAUGAUCGAAUUCUAUUGAAGAUUUGGAAGGAUAGUCUUUCCCAUCAAUAAAGGGAGUUUUAGUAUUUGGCAUCUAACUACGAAGCAUAUCGAGUUCUAAAGGUUAGUGCAAGCAUACCUGCUAUUCCAGGAUCAUGACAGAACUGCUGUGGAAUCAGCAAUAGGAUUCCCAAAGCAUGACAUUUUCUAGCUACUAAAUUUGAAAAUAAUGCGACUUUUAUACACUUUUUUCUAUAGAAAAUGCAUAGAUUUUUUUAUUUUUUUUUUUGUGCCAAAAUCUUGUAGCAAGUUUGAGUUGGGGAGUACCUCAAUCGCCAAGAGAGAAGUUAUGUAUGACUCUGUGUAAACUCCAAAUUUUUUGGUAUAUAUGUUUCUGUGACUCAA
This 887-nucleotide long non-coding RNA is filed under the name Olea europaea subsp. europaea. Lineage: Eukaryota; Viridiplantae; Streptophyta; Magnoliopsida; Lamiales; Oleaceae. The record is from RNAcentral.